This 166-nucleotide ribosomal RNA is filed under the name uncultured bacterium. RNAcentral's name for it is "partial 16S ribosomal RNA". It matches the Rfam family "Bacterial small subunit ribosomal RNA", at positions 346 to 509 of the family's 1533-position model. The record is from RNAcentral.
AGGCAGCAGUGAGGAAUAUUGGUCAAUGGCCGAAGGGCUGAACCAGCCAAGUCGCGUGAGGGAAGACGGCCCUACGGGUUGUAAACCUCUUUUGCCGGGGAGCAAAGGCGGUCACUGGUGACCGGAUGAGAGUACCCGGAGAAAAAGCAUCGGCUAACUCCGUGCC